CCGAAAGGCGUAACUAAUGGACAACGGGUUAAUAUUCCUGUACCAUUUAUUACUGGUAUCGAGGGACGGAGAAGGCUAAACCAUCCGGAUGUUGGUUACCGGUUUAAGCGUUAAAGGUGUUGAGAAACGGAGAAAACGUUUUGAGCUAAGGCGUGAAUACGAGAUACUAAGGUAUCGAAGUGGUUGAAGUCAUACUUCCAAGAAAAGCUCGGAAUAUCAUAAGUAAUAAAUGCCUGUACCUUAAACCGACACAGGUAGGUAGAUAGAGUAUACCAAGG
This 278-nucleotide ribosomal RNA is filed under the name Ditylum brightwellii. RNAcentral describes it as "partial Bacterial large subunit ribosomal RNA". It matches the Rfam family "Bacterial large subunit ribosomal RNA", at positions 1402 to 1686 of the family's 2925-position model. The record is from RNAcentral. Lineage: Eukaryota; Bacillariophyta; Thalassiosirophyceae; Lithodesmiales; Lithodesmiaceae.